AGUGAUUCAUUUAGAAGAGGUUUGAACCCUAACUUUCCUCUUUUUUCCAUCUCUUUUACUAUAGCCUUAAAAAGUUCAGUUGAAAUUCAGAACACUGCAGCUAAUGAGUGAAUUACAGUGGAAUGGCUGCUCAAAAUUUUCCAGAAGAAGCGUAACCAAGAGGAAAUUCUGUUUGAAAAGAAAUAUUUUGCCCUUUCAUGUGGAUUCUCACACUCUUGGUAUGUGUCUUGCCUGUGGAAGCCAGCUCUGCCGUGGGUUUCCUGCUCCUGAAUGCACUGCAGUUGCCUUCCCCAGAGCCGGAGUAAGAGCCAGUCAAACAAUGCUGGACCUACAGCCCACUGUGUCAUCAGUUCAGACCUGAGCACUAUAUAUGCCAAAUGUAUCAUAUGAUCAGCACCCAAUGGUGGAAACCUUGUUAGGUGCUUUAAAUUAUUGUCAGACAGACUCGAACUGCAUUAAUAAAAUCAGCAGAUUUGUGUAAAUUGAUUCA
RNAcentral lists this long non-coding RNA (490 nucleotides) under Parus major (Great Tit). Its description in RNAcentral is "lncRNA (ENSPMJG00000007125.1)". The record is from RNAcentral. Lineage: Eukaryota; Metazoa; Chordata; Aves; Passeriformes; Paridae.